CUCCACCUAUGCACAAGGGUGAUGUGCAUCAAGACUAAUUUUAUAGAAUUCUUCUCAACAAAUUCCUCUCAACUUCUUGCAAAUAGCCAACUCUUUGCAGAGAGUCAAGACUCAUCUUUUACAUUUUAUUCUGCAGAAAGCCUCCUGUGAUGGUUAAUAUUGAGUGUUAACUUGAUUCGGCUGAAAGUAUGCAAAGUAUUGUUCCUGAGUAUGUCUGUGAGGGUGUUGUCAAAGGAGAUUAACAUUUGAGUCAGUGGACUGAGAGAGGCAGACCCACCAUUAAUCUGGGUGGGCACCAUCCCCUUGGCUGCCAGCGUGGUUACAAAAAGCAGACAGAAGAAAGUGGAAUGAGCAGACUUGCUGAGUCUUCUGGCCUUCAUCUUUCUCCUGUGCUGGAUGCUUCCUGACCUGGAACAUCAGACUCCAAGUUCUUCAGCUUCUGGACUCUCGGACUUACACCAGUGAUUUGCCAGGGCAUCUUGGGCUCUUGGGCCUUCAGCCACAGACAGAAGGCUGCACUGUCAGCUUCCCUACUUUUGAGGUUUUGGGACUCAGACUGGCUUCCUUGCUCCUCAGCUUGCAGAUGGCCUAUUGUGGAAUUUCACCUUAUGAUCG
This 615-nucleotide long non-coding RNA is filed under the name Pan troglodytes (chimpanzee). Its description in RNAcentral is "long non-coding RNA NONPTRT014907". Lineage: Eukaryota; Metazoa; Chordata; Mammalia; Primates; Hominidae. The record is from RNAcentral.